This 274-nucleotide ribosomal RNA is filed under the name uncultured bacterium. RNAcentral's name for it is "partial 16S ribosomal RNA". It matches the Rfam family "Bacterial small subunit ribosomal RNA", at positions 523 to 796 of the family's 1533-position model. The record is from RNAcentral.
AUACGGAGGGGGUUAGCGUUGUUCGGAAUUACUGGGCGUAAAGCGCACGUAGGCGGAUUGGAAAGUUGGGGGUGAAAUCCCAGGGCUCAACCCUGGAACUGCCUCCAAAACUAACAGUCUAGAGUUCGAGAGAGGUGAGUGGAAUUCCAAGUGUAGAGGUGAAAUUCGUAGAUAUUUGGAGGAACACCAGUGGCGAAGGCGGCUCACUGGCUCGAUACUGACGCUGAGGUGCGAAAGCGUGGGGAGCAAACAGGAUUAGAUACCCGGGUAGUCC